Molecule: ribosomal RNA, 488 nt
Filed under: uncultured bacterium
Lineage: Bacteria
Description: bacterial SSU rRNA
Rfam family: Bacterial small subunit ribosomal RNA
Source: RNAcentral
GAACGCUAGCUACAGGCUUAACACAUGCAAGUCGAGGGAAACGAUAGAGAAAGCUUGCUUUUUCUAGGCGUCGACCGGCGCACGGGUGAGUAACGCGUAUCCAACCUGCCCAUCACUUGGGGAUAACCUUGCGAAAGUAAGACUAAUACCCAAUGAUAUCUCUAGAAGACAUCUGAAAGAGAUUAAAGAUUUAUCGGUGAUGGAUGGGGAUGCGUCUGAUUAGCUUGUUGGCGGGGUAACGGCCCACCAAGGCGACGAUCAGUAGGGGUUCUGAGAGGAAGGUCCCCCACAUUGGAACUGAGACACGGUCCAAACUCCUACGGGAGGCAGCAGUGAGGAAUAUUGGUCAAUGGACGAGAGUCUGAACCAGCCAAGUAGCGUGCAGGAUGACGGCCCUAUGGGUUGUAGACUGCUUUUAUAAGGGAAUAAAGUGAGUCUCGUGAGACUUUUUGCAUGUACCUUAUGAAUAAGGACCGGCUAAUUCCGUG